UAUUCCCACCAGGUUUCGAACCUGGGACCUUCCUCAUCUGAAGUGGAUGUGAUAACCACUACUCCAUGGGAAC
Molecule: non-coding RNA, 73 nt
Organism: Araneus ventricosus
Lineage: Eukaryota; Metazoa; Arthropoda; Arachnida; Araneae; Araneidae
Source: the annotation of a GenBank genome assembly